CGACCACACAGGUUUAUCUAGACCAUGUAAAGGACACGGGCUAGGGACACGGGCGUGUGCUUGGCCGUGUGAAAACCCUUGUAGGUUCGAAAUGGAAAAUAAAUUCAAUUAAUUCCACACGGGCGUGUCCCAAAGCACACGAGAGUGUGCAUUGCCUCUACAUGGGCGUGUGAUGUUUAACUUAGAAAUUUUUUCAAGAAAUUUCUCAGGUCCUCGGUUUAGUCUUGGACCUUUC
RNAcentral lists this long non-coding RNA (235 nucleotides) under Gossypium barbadense (sea-island cotton). RNAcentral describes it as "long non-coding RNA (GBAR_LNC011411)". The record is from RNAcentral. Lineage: Eukaryota; Viridiplantae; Streptophyta; Magnoliopsida; Malvales; Malvaceae.